Gadus chalcogrammus (walleye pollock) is the source of this 426-nucleotide long non-coding RNA. RefSeq lists it as uncharacterized. The transcript has 6 exons. Lineage: Eukaryota; Metazoa; Chordata; Actinopteri; Gadiformes; Gadidae. The record is from RefSeq and is a predicted model, not a curated record.
AGGGUCCAGCUGCAGGCUUGGGCGUUCCCGUCAUGACACAAAAACGCCCAUCGGGCGUUCCCGUCAUGACACAAAAACGCCCAUCAGGCGUUCCUGUAGCGUUUCAUCGAUCACUCAAGAAGAGUACCCUGGCACAUGCUUUGUCCAAUGGACCAUGGAAGGGACUUUACUUGGCUGACGAGGACGCACCUCACCAGUAUCAGAGCAACAGCUGUGGGGUGUUUAUGCUGAUGUACGCAAUGUAUUCUACCCUCAAAAGCAAUAUGAUUUCAGUGAGGGGGACAUGCUCUCUAUCAGGAGGUGGUGGUUUGACAGCUGUUGGAGACCUUUAUGCUUGAAAGGCUAGCCCUGCAGAACUAGCUGGCUCCUUCUCACCCUCUCCAUCUCCCCAUCUCAGUCACACCUUCCAAUCACUAAGCAGUGAAA